AACUUGGUAGCAGGAUACAAGGUGAGCCCUUCUGGGGACAAGCCUUAAAGCAAUCAGGCAUUACCCACGUGUGUAAACGGAGAAAGAAGUCAUUCCACACAGAUGCCAGCUCAGCGGCUUGGGGUGAGAAAUGCCAAGUCGGGGCAUUCUAGGUCGUCUGAAGUUCACAGAACAUAAAGUUCAAGGCAUGGACGGCCAUUUGUGGGGCUGGACAGAGGAGCAUGGGGUAUGUCAGGAAAGUUCGUGCUGCUAGGCAGAGGAACUGCAGCUUGUUGGCAGGUGAAGGGAGCCUGUUUAGCUGUGUCCAGCAACAACUUACGUGGUCCUGCUUGUGUUCCAGGUGAAGCGUCUGGCCGCCGAGCAGAGGAAUCAAGACCUGCUCAUUCUUUCCUCGGGGGAUCCAUCCAGCAAUGACAUCAUCUCAUGCUGCCACAAGGACCCCAAGUCUGGGCUGCUGGGGACCAGCCACGCUCCCCACUGCUCAUUCCUUCAUCCUAGAGACAUUCUGACUCUCCUCCGACUGCGCUGUGCACAGGUGUGACAAGCUCUUUUACAUCUCAGUCUGCACAACUUCAGGCACUUAGCAGAUUGAUAUGCAUCCAACAAAUAUUGAUUGAAUAUCUGCUAAAUACCCAGUAAUGUUUCAUGAGUGAUUGGGUGAAUAAAGGAAUGCUGGUUCCUUCUGGCCAUAUUAACUCCUGCACAAUACUAAGAAAAAUAAAUUGCACUAGCUGUGGAAUAAUGUGAAUCCCAAUGUCAUCUAUUGAAAUAUUACCUGACUAUUAAGAGGUAUUUAUUUUUGUAUCUUUUCUAGCAAAGUAAAUAAAAUUCUUAAUACAGCAUAUCCCCUUAUUCACGGGGGGUAUGUUCCAAGACCCCCGGUGGAUGCCUGAAACUAUGGAUAAUACCAGAUCC
RNAcentral lists this long non-coding RNA (915 nucleotides) under Homo sapiens (human). RNAcentral describes it as "HSALNT0299751". The record is from RNAcentral. Lineage: Eukaryota; Metazoa; Chordata; Mammalia; Primates; Hominidae.